RNAcentral lists this ribosomal RNA (1242 nucleotides) under metagenome. RNAcentral describes it as "bacterial LSU rRNA". It matches the Rfam family "Bacterial large subunit ribosomal RNA", at positions 1564 to 2813 of the family's 2925-position model. The record is from RNAcentral.
UGAGUACGAGAUGCUACGGCAUCGAAGCAGUCUAUGUCAUACUUCCAAGAAAAGCUUGCAAUGUCAUAAACAAAUAAUGCCUGUACCAUAACCGACACAGGUGGGUAGGUAGAGUAUACUAAGGGGCGCGAGAUAACUCUCCCUGAGGAACUCGGCAAAAUGACUCCGUAACUUCGGGAGAAGGAGUGCCUUAUUUUUAUAAGGUUGCAAUAACAAGAUCCAAGCAACUGUUUACCAAAAACACAGGUCUCCGCUAAGUCGUAAGACGAUGUAUGGGGGCUGACGCCUGCCCAGUGCCAGAAGGUUAAAGAAGUUGGUUAGCAUUAGCGAAGCUGAUAACUGAAGCCCUGGUGAACGGCGGCCGUAACAAUAACGGUCCUAAGGUAGCGAAAUUCCUUGUCGGGUAAGUUCCGACCCGCACGAAAGGCGUAAUGAUUUGGAUACUGUCUCGGAGAGGGGCUCGGUGAAAUAGACUUGUCUGUGAAGAUGCGGACUACCUGCACCUGGACAGAAAGACCCUAUGAAGCUUUACUGUAACUUGAGAUUGAAAUUGGACUUUAUCUGCGCAGUAUAGGUGGGAGACGUUGAAAAUAUUCUUGCGGGAAUAUUGGAGUCAUCAGUGAGAUACCACUCUUAUAAUGUUAGAUUUCUAACUUUGUAUCAUUAUCUGGUCAAAGAACAGUUUCAGGCGGGCAGUUUGACUGGGGCGGUCGCCUCCCAAACGGUAACGGAGGCGCACAAAGGUUUCCUCUGAACGUGUAGAAAUCGUAUCUAGAGUGUAAAGGCAUAAGGAAGCUUGACUGUGAGACCUACAAGUCGAGCAGGGACGAAAGUCGGUCUUAGUGAUCUGACGGUGCUGAGUGGAAAGGCCGUCACUCAACGGAUAAAAGUUACUCUAAGGAUAACAGGCUGAUCUCCCCCAAGAGUUCACAUCGACGGGGAGGUUUGGCACCUCGAUGUCGGCUCAUCGCAUCCUGGGGCGGUAGUACGUCCCAAGGGUUGGGCUGUUCGCCCAUGAAAGCGGUACGCGAGCUGGGUUCAGAACGUCGUGAGACAGUUCGGUCCAUAUCCGGUGUAGGCGUUAGAAUAUUGAGAGGAGCCUUCUUUAGUACGAGAGGACAGAGAAGGACAUACCUCUGGUGUACCAGUUAUCGUGCCAACGGUAAACGCUGGGUAGCCAUGUAUGGAGAGGAUAACCGCUGAAAGCAUCUAAGUGGGAAGCCCACCUCAAGAUAAGUAUUC